This 465-nucleotide ribosomal RNA is filed under the name uncultured bacterium. Its description in RNAcentral is "partial 16S ribosomal RNA". It matches the Rfam family "Bacterial small subunit ribosomal RNA", at positions 338 to 795 of the family's 1533-position model. The record is from RNAcentral.
CCUACGGGAGGCAGCAGUAGGGAAUCUUCCACAAUGGGCGAAAGCCUGAUGGAGCAACGCCGCGUGGGUGAAGAAGGUCUUCGGAUCGUAAAACCCUGUUGUUAGAGAAGAAAGUGCGUGAGAGUAACUGUUCACGUUUCGACGGUAUCUAACCAGAAAGCCACGGCUAACUACGUGCCAGCAGCCGCGGGAAUACGUAGGUGGCAAGCGUUAUCCGGAUUUAUUGGGCGUAAAGGGAACGCAGGCGGUCUUUUAAGUCUGAUGUGAAAGCCUUCGGCUUAACCGGAGUAGUGCAUUGGAAACUGGGAGACGUGAGUGCAGAAGAGGAGAGUGGAACUCGAUGUGUAGCGGUGAAAUGCGUAGAUAUAUGGAAGAACACCAGUGGCGAAAGCGGCUCUCUGGUCUGUAACUGACGCUGAGGUUCGAGAGCGUGGGUAGCAAACAGGAUUAGAUACCCUUGUAGUC